UGCCGGUUGGGUAACCUUGCCUGUAAGACUGGGAUAACUCCUUGGGAAACCGGGGCUAAUACCUGGAUGCUUGUUUGAACCGCAGGUUCAAACAUAAAAGGUGGCUUCGGCUACCACUUACAGAUGGACCCGCGGCGCAUUAGCUAGUUGGUGAGGUAAUGGCUCACCAAGGCAACGAUGCGUAGCCGACCUGAGAGGGUGAUCGGCCACACUGGGACUGAGACACGGCCCAGACUCCUACGGGAGGCAGCAGUAGGGAAUCUUCCGCAAUGGACGAAAGUCUGACGGAGCAACGCCGCGUGAGUGAUGAAGGUUUUCGGAUCGUAAAGCUCUGUUGUUAGGGAAGAACAAGUACCGUUCGAAUAGGGCGGUACCUUGACGGUACCUAACCAGAAAGCCACGGCUAACUACGUGCCAGCAGCCGCGGUAAUACGUAGGUGGCAAGCGUUGUCCGGAAUUAUUGGGCGUAAAGGGCUCGCAUGCGGUUUCUUAAGUCUGAUGUGAAAGCCCCCGGCUCACCCGGGGAGGGUCAUUGGAAACUGGGGAACUUGACUGCAGAAGAGGAGAGUGGAAUUCCACG
RNAcentral lists this ribosomal RNA (580 nucleotides) under Bacillus sp. A3(2012). RNAcentral describes it as "bacterial SSU rRNA". It matches the Rfam family "Bacterial small subunit ribosomal RNA", at positions 107 to 673 of the family's 1533-position model. The record is from RNAcentral. Lineage: Bacteria; Bacillati; Bacillota; Bacilli; Caryophanales; Bacillaceae.